This 720-nucleotide ribosomal RNA is filed under the name uncultured Staphylococcus sp. RNAcentral describes it as "bacterial SSU rRNA". It matches the Rfam family "Bacterial small subunit ribosomal RNA", at positions 58 to 759 of the family's 1533-position model. Lineage: Bacteria; Bacillati; Bacillota; Bacilli; Caryophanales; Staphylococcaceae. The record is from RNAcentral.
CAAGUCGAGCGAACGGACGAGAAGCUUGCUUCUCUGGAUGUUAGCGGCGGACGGGUGAGUAACACGUGGAUAACCUACCUAUAAGACUGGGAUAACUUCGGGAAACCGGAGCUAAUACCGGAUAAUAUUUUGAACCGCAUGGUUCAAAAGUGAAAGACGGUCUUGCUGUCACUUAUAGAUGGAUCCGCGCUGCAUUAGCUAGUUGGUAAGGUAACGGCUUACCAAGGCAACGAUGCAUAGCCGACCUGAGAGGGUGAUCGGCCACACUGGAACUGAGACACGGUCCAGACUCCUACGGGAGGCAGCAGUAGGGAAUCUUCCGCAAUGGGCGAAAGCCUGACGGAGCAACGCCGCGUGAGUGAUGAAGGUCUUCGGAUCGUAAAACUCUGUUAUUAGGGAAGAACAUAUGUGUAAGUAACUGUGCACAUCUUGACGGUACCUAAUCAGAAAGCCACGGCUAACUACGUGCCAGCAGCCGCGGUAAUACGUAGGUGGCAAGCGUUAUCCGGAAUUAUUGGGCGUAAAGCGCGCGUAGGCGGUUUUUUAAGUCUGAUGUGAAAGCCCACGGCUCAACCGUGGAGGGUCAUUGGAAACUGGAAAACUUGAGUGCAGAAGAGGAAAGUGGAAUUCCAUGUGUAGCGGUGAAAUGCGCAGAGAUAUGGAGGAACACCAGUGGCGAAGGCGACUUUCUGGUCUGUAACUGACGCUGAUGUGCGAAAG